UGAGGAAUAUUGCGCAAUGGAGGAAACUCUGACGCAGCGACGCCGCGUGAAGGAUGAAUGCCCUCUGGGUUGUAAACUUCUGUAGAGAGGGAAGAAUGUCCGCCUUCGGCGGAUUGACGGUACCUCUAAAGUAAGCAUCGGCUAACUACGUGCCAGCAGCCGCGGUAAUACGUAGGAUGCGAGCGUUGUCCGGAUUUACUGGGUGUAAAGGGCGCGCAGGCGGAAUGGAAAGUCAGUGGUGAAAUCCUACAGCUUAACUGUAGAACUGCCUUUGAUACUUUCAUUCUUGAGUUCGGGAGAGAGAGACGGAAUUCCAGGUGUAGUGGUGAAAUACGUAGAUAUCUGGAAGAACACCAGUUGCGAAGGCGGUCUCUUGGUCCGAUACUGACGCUGAGGCGCGAAAGCGUGGGGAGCAAA
This 417-nucleotide ribosomal RNA is filed under the name uncultured bacterium. RNAcentral's name for it is "bacterial SSU rRNA". It matches the Rfam family "Bacterial small subunit ribosomal RNA", at positions 355 to 772 of the family's 1533-position model. The record is from RNAcentral.